This 127-nucleotide small RNA is filed under the name Marmota monax (woodchuck). Lineage: Eukaryota; Metazoa; Chordata; Mammalia; Rodentia; Sciuridae. The record is from RNAcentral.
GCCAGGUGCAGUGGCCCAUGCCUGCAAUCCCAGUGACUCGGGAGGCUGAGGCAGGAGGAUUGCAGGUCUGAAGCCAGCCUCAGCAACUUAGUGAGGCUCUUCGCAACCUAGUGAGACCCUGUCUCCA